Molecule: ribosomal RNA, 480 nt
Filed under: Apoglypha sp. M92
Lineage: Eukaryota; Metazoa; Arthropoda; Insecta; Hymenoptera; Proctotrupidae
Description: partial 16S ribosomal RNA
Source: RNAcentral
GUCUAACUCUGCUCAAUGAAUUUUAAAUAGCUGCAGUAUUUUAACUGUACAAAGGUAGCAUAAUCAAUUGGCUAUUUAAUAUAGUCUGGUAUGAAGGGUUGAAUGAAGUAAAAACUGUAUUUAUUUAAAAAAUAAAAAUUUUAAUUUAAGUUUAAAUACUUAAAUUUGUGUAUAAGACGAGAAGACCCUAUAGAAUUUUAUAAAUUAAUUUUAAGUAUAAAAUUUAUUUAAAUAUUUUAAUUUAAUUUUAUUUAUUUAAUUGGGGGGAUAUAAAAAUUUUUGAAAUUUUUUAAUAAUAUUAUACAAAUAUAAUUGAGUUAAUAUUUUGAAUAUUUAAAAUUAGUUAAUAGAUUAAAUUACCUUAGGGAUAACAGGAUAAUUUUUUUGGUUAGUACUUAUUAAUAAAAAAGAUUAUUACCUCGAUGUUGAAUUAAGAUAAAAUUUUAAAGAAGAUUUUAAAAGUUUUUAGUCUGUUCGACU